RNAcentral lists this ribosomal RNA (440 nucleotides) under uncultured bacterium. Its description in RNAcentral is "partial 16S ribosomal RNA". It matches the Rfam family "Bacterial small subunit ribosomal RNA", at positions 338 to 795 of the family's 1533-position model. The record is from RNAcentral.
CCUACGGGUGGCAGCAGUGGGGGAUAUUGCACAAUGGGCGGAACCCUGAUGCAGCGACGCCGCGUGGGUGAAGAAGCGCCUCGGCGCGUAAAGCCCUGUCAGCAGGGAAGAAAAUGACGGUACCUGAAGAAGAAGCCCCGGCUAACUACGUGCCAGCAGCCGCGGUAAUACGUAGGGGGCAAGCGUUAUACGGAUUUACUGGGUGGAAAGGGGGCGGAGACGGCGUUGCAAGCGAGGAGUGAAAGCCCGGGGCCCAACCCCGGGCCUGCACUUGGAACUGCGAGGCUGGAGUGCAGGAGGGGCAGGCGGAAUUCCUGGUGUAGCGGUGAAAUGCGUAGAUAUCAGGAGGAACACCGGUGGCGAAGGCGGCCUGCUGGACUGCAACUGACGUUGAGGCCCGAAAGCGUGGGGAGCAAACAGGAUUAGAUACCCCUGUAGUC